GGGCCCGUGGCCUAGAAUGGAUAGGGCGGCGGCCUCCUAAGCCGUAGGUCGUGGGUUCGAAUCCCACCGGGCCCG
This 75-nucleotide transfer RNA is filed under the name Nitrososphaeria archaeon. Its description in RNAcentral is "tRNA-Arg". It matches the Rfam family "tRNA". From Rfam's summary of the family: Transfer RNA (tRNA) molecules are approximately 80 nucleotides in length. Their secondary structure includes four short double-helical elements and three loops (D, anti-codon, and T loops). Further hydrogen bonds mediate the characteristic L-shaped molecular structure. tRNAs have two regions of fundamental functional importance: the anti-codon, which is responsible for specific mRNA codon recognition, and the 3' end, to which the tRNAs corresponding amino acid is attached (by aminoacyl-tRNA synthetases). tRNAs cope with the degeneracy of the genetic code in two manners: having more than one tRNA (with a specific anti-codon) for a particular amino acid; and 'wobble' base-pairing, i.e. permitting non-standard base-pairing at the 3rd anti-codon position. Lineage: Archaea; Thermoproteati; Nitrososphaerota; Nitrososphaeria. RNAcentral also lists the same sequence under 1 other name. The record is from RNAcentral.